AGAUAGUUUCAGCAGGUAUUCACUAGGAUGGUGUUGCCAAGAAUGUUGAAACAACACAAGGAAAAAUCAUUAUCAGGACGAUGAUGACAAGGACUCCACUAGGGAAGGGUGGAACGCUAGUCAGGAAGAUCAGCGAACAAAGGAUGCUAAGGACACCGCUAGGAAGGCGAAGACAAGGAAAGCGCUUAAGGAUAAGCCGAUAUAUCAAGGAAUAGAUGCAGGGAGCACUUUACAGUAGCGGGAUUGCUGCAGAUAAAGAAAACGCCCUUAUAGUGAAAGCUAUAGGGGCUCUUUUUUUG
Molecule: non-coding RNA, 299 nt
Filed under: Vibrio marisflavi
Lineage: Bacteria; Pseudomonadati; Pseudomonadota; Gammaproteobacteria; Vibrionales; Vibrionaceae
Source: RNAcentral